This 84-nucleotide transfer RNA is filed under the name Flavobacteriaceae bacterium. RNAcentral describes it as "tRNA-Leu". It matches the Rfam family "tRNA". Rfam says of the family: Transfer RNA (tRNA) molecules are approximately 80 nucleotides in length. Lineage: Bacteria; Pseudomonadati; Bacteroidota; Flavobacteriia; Flavobacteriales; Flavobacteriaceae. The record is from RNAcentral.
GCGCACGUGGCGGAAUUGGUAGACGCGCUGGCUUGAGGGGCCAGUGUCCAUUAGGAUGUGGAGGUUCGAAUCCUCUCGUGCGCA